RNAcentral lists this long non-coding RNA (1609 nucleotides) under Chlamydomonas reinhardtii. RNAcentral describes it as "long non-coding RNA (CREI_LNC000625)". Lineage: Eukaryota; Viridiplantae; Chlorophyta; Chlorophyceae; Chlamydomonadales; Chlamydomonadaceae. The record is from RNAcentral.
CCGUUUCUUCCAUUCCUCCGUCUGCGUGCCCCGCGCACACCACCCUCAGCCGCACACCGCCGGCAAAUGCUGUCGGCGACUGCAGGCGGACGGAGUCUCGUUGGCCCUAGACUCCCGCUUACGCGGAGGGGCGAGCGGGCUUCACGUGCCAGAUGUCCUCAGCGUACUCGCGAAUGGUGCGGUCACUGGAGAACUUGCCGCUGCCGGCCGUGUACAUGAUCGACCUGCGCACAAGGACAGGGGGAGGAGGGGGCGGUGAGGGCGAACGCAGGGUCAGGGUGUGGCGGUGUGUGCAGUGGAUGCGCGGACAUACCAUGCACUAUCAAGCUGUCCGGGCCUCAUCCAGCAGGUAUGUGCGCGUGUGCCCGACGGCUCCCAAAGCCUAAGCUGCCGGUGCCAGCCACUUGAAAACACAGUCCCAAACGUGCACACCGUGCACACCCCAGCAGUCUGCCCAGCAGGCCAAACACCCCCCCUGCUCCUGCCCUCCCACCCACCGGCGCAGCCACUCCGCCUGGUCCUUGUAGGUGGCGUCCACCUCCUCCUGUGCCGCCAGGUAGCCGGCGAAGUCGUUGGCCAGCAGGAACCAGUCGUUGCCCACCUGCUCGGUAAGAUAGGUAAACACAAAACGAAUAGGAGUCGGUGAGUGUCGGUUCGGCUGAGGGGUGGACGUGACCGGUUAGGCGGCCAGAGCGCGCGCGGGCAUGCGGUGUGUGAGCGUUCGCCAAGGGGGCAAAGUGGGGUUAUGAGAAAGCGGCAAGUGCGCCGUCAACUUAGGGGUCUACCACCUCGUUAACCGUCCUCCUGGGCCUGGCCUGCUCCCCGUGUGCUUGCCUUCAUGUUGUUGACGCUGUCCACCAGCGGCUUGAAGUAGUCCUUGUCGCCGAACAUGCCGCCCUCAAUGUCCUUCAUCAGCUCGUCCCACCUGGCGGCCAGAGUGCAGGUUGCGUUGCGCGUUAGGUGGGCACAUGGGUACAUUUGGACAGGCCGGCAGCCGGCUGCAUGUGUACGUGUGAUGAGGUGCAGGUCCCAGGAGUUGCACAGGGUGUUAAUGGAUGAUUGACAGGACGUGGUCGACCAGUUGUGUCAUACGGUUGUAUGGCUUGCGGACUGGAGCCUGGAGAGCUUGGCUGCUACUACUGGUCUUACCGGGGGUCGGUCUUGAAGUUCUUGCGGUCCUUGCGCAGCUGGUUGAUCUCCUCGGCGCGCACGCCGAACACGAAGACGUUCUCCACGCCCGUCUCCUCCGCGAUCUCAAUGUUGGCGCCGUCCCAGGUGCCCAUGAUCAGGCAACCGUUCAUCUGGAACUUCAUGUUGGACGUGCCCGAAGCCUCAGUGCCUGUGACACGUAAGCGGGCGUGGGCAUGCGGUCUAAGGGACGAGAGUGGCGCGGCAGGGUAGUGUGCAACAAGAGGCAGUUUUGCAUGGUUGGAUACCGUAUGGGCAAAAGCUCGCCGCCGCGCCCACACGACCGCUUCUGCACAGCCCCAGCCCCACGCACCCGCGGUGGAGAUGUGCUGCGACAGCUCGGCGGCGGGGAUGAUGGUCUCGGCCAGGGUCACGUUGUAGUCGGGCAGGAAGUACAGGCGCAGGUAGUCCUUGGUCUCGG